This 392-nucleotide long non-coding RNA is filed under the name Helianthus annuus (common sunflower). Its description in RNAcentral is "hypothetical non coding rna". Lineage: Eukaryota; Viridiplantae; Streptophyta; Magnoliopsida; Asterales; Asteraceae. The record is from RNAcentral.
UCAGAAACCCAGGGACGAACUCUCAUUCUUUCAAAACCCUAACUCCUCUAAAUUCACUCAAAAUUCAAGAAAUAAAACCCAAUUGAAGGUGAAUCAAGGCUGAAUUUGUGAUCCUCAUACUUAGUAGGUCACAAGGGUAUAUGGGUUUUUGUGAUUUGGGUGGAUCAUCAAGUGGACAAGGCGGGUCGGAUAACCGCUUAAAAGGAAAGCUUUGAAAAGGUGAUGGUAGCGAAUCGCGAAUGAUGAUCAAGUACCCGAAAGGAUCGAACACACAAAUGUCAAAGCUUCCGCAAUUAUAAUAGUCCUUUUGAAACGAAACUUAUGUGUAAUAAGUAGAAGUAGUUUUGUUGAAAAUAUUUAAAAUCCAUGUAAAUUAUCGUUUUGUGGAUAUU